AUAUAUAUAUAUAUAUAUAUAAUUGUUGAUGUGGAUUUUGUGGAUGAUACGUUGCAUUGGAAAGCAAGGCUGGCUGAGAUGCAUGUGUUGAAGCUUCCAAUUAAGUGAAUGUGUUAUUCAUUACGCAGAGCGUGAGUUGCACGCGCAAACAUCCCUAUACGGUUUGCAUGCCUCAACAAAGCGUAGUGUAGGUGGACCACACCAUUCAUGGAGUUUCUCUAUACUAUCUGCAGCACUCACACAUGCCAUUGGACACGUAACUAAUGCUUCUUGCACUCUUGACAAUGAAACCCAUUAGAAGGAUCAUUAGCAUUGUAACAUGAAGCGAAAAAGAGAGGAAAAUCGAGGUGUCGUUUCACUUUCAGAGAGAAAAUCAAUGGAUAUUGUCAACCACUAGAUUGUUGUCUUUUUUGGUUGUCGUCGUCAACAAAGGGUGUGUGCGGGGAUGUUGAAGCAAUUGGAUUAUCCCAAAGAAGUUGUGUUAUGGUAUCAUUGUGGUGGGGAUUGAGUACCUGAAUGUUGAUUUAAAAGAAUUUCUUGAUGAUAAAUUAAGGUGCUCUAGAGAUGUUGUAAAUUCCAAUUAGCUAGGAAGUGAAUCGUUCACCUUUAUGUUGAACAUCUUGUGGCAGAGGUUAAGGUUCUUUUUUUUUUGCUAUUUAAUAUUUAAUUAUGAUCAAUAUAUUAACUUCACAUAUAGAAAUGUUGAUGGAAUAGUGUCAUAGAGUGUUACCUAUUUAUGAUGAUGUAGAAAUAUGAUAGAAUAUUUGGGUUGAAUUACGUUGUAUA
Long non-coding RNA from Glycine soja, 786 nucleotides. RefSeq lists it as uncharacterized. NCBI's taxonomy places the organism in Eukaryota, Viridiplantae, Streptophyta, Magnoliopsida, Fabales, Fabaceae. The record is from RefSeq and is a predicted model, not a curated record. The transcript is spliced from 3 exons.